AGUGAACGCUGGCGGCAGGCCUAACACAUGCAAGUCGAACGGCAGCACAGAGGAGCUUGCUCCUUGGGUGGCGAGUGGCGGACGGGUGAGGAAUACAUCGGAAUCUGCCUAUUUGUGGGGGAUAACGUAGGGAAACUUACGCUAAUACCGCAUACGACCUACGGGUGAAAGCGGAGGACCUUCGGGCUUCGCGCAGAUAGAUGAGCCGAUGUCGGAUUAGCUAGUUGGCGGGGUAAAGGCCCACCAAGGCGACGAUCCGUAGCUGGUCUGAGAGGAUGAUCAGCCACACUGGAACUGAGACACGGUCCAGACUCCUACGGGAGGCAGCAGUGGGGAAUAUUGGACAAUGGGCGCAAGCCUGAUCCAGCCAUGCCGCGUGGGUGAAGAAGGCCUUCGGGUUGUAAAGCCCUUUUGUUGGGAAAGAAAAGCAGCCGGUUAAUACCCGGUUGUUCUGACGGUACCCAAAGAAUAAGCACCGGCUAACUUCGUGCCAGCCGCCGCAGUAA
RNAcentral lists this ribosomal RNA (506 nucleotides) under uncultured bacterium. Its description in RNAcentral is "partial 16S ribosomal RNA". It matches the Rfam family "Bacterial small subunit ribosomal RNA", at positions 29 to 523 of the family's 1533-position model. The record is from RNAcentral.